RNAcentral lists this ribosomal RNA (521 nucleotides) under uncultured Glomeraceae. RNAcentral describes it as "SSU rRNA". It matches the Rfam family "Eukaryotic small subunit ribosomal RNA", at positions 569 to 1092 of the family's 1831-position model. Lineage: Eukaryota; Fungi; Glomeromycota; Glomeromycetes; Glomerales; Glomeraceae. The record is from RNAcentral.
AGCAGCCGCGGUAAUUCCAGCUCCAAUAGCGUAUAUUAAAGUUGUUGCAGUUAAAAAGCUCGUAGUUGAAUUUCGGGAUCAAUAUGUUGGUCGUGCCUUGGUACGUACUGGCAUUAUUGGUUUCUACCUUCUGAAGAACCUCGAUGUCAUUAAUUUGGUGUCUUGGGGAAUCAGGACUGUUACUUUGAAAAAAUUAGAGUGUUUAAAGCAGGCUCGCGCUUGAAUACAUUAGCAUGGAAUAAUGAAAUAGGACGUUUGAUUCUAUUUUGUUGGUUUCUAGGAUUGACGUAAUGAUUAAUAGGGAUAGUUGGGGGCAUUAGUAUUCAAUUGUCAGAGGUGAAAUUCUUGGAUUUAUUGAAGACUAACUACUGCGAAAGCAUUUGCCAAGGAUGUUUUCAUUAAUCAAGAACGAAAGUUAGGGGAUCGAAGACGAUCAGAUACCGUCGUAGUCUUAACCAUAAACUAUGCCGACUAGGGAUCGGAUGAUGUUAAUUUUUUAAUGACUCAUUCGGCGCCUUACG